RNAcentral lists this ribosomal RNA (407 nucleotides) under uncultured bacterium. RNAcentral describes it as "partial 16S ribosomal RNA". It matches the Rfam family "Bacterial small subunit ribosomal RNA", at positions 30 to 526 of the family's 1533-position model. The record is from RNAcentral.
AUUGAACGCUGGCGGCAGGCCUAACACAUGCAAGUCGAGCGGUGCGGGGGUCGGGUGAGUAAUGCCAAGGACUCUGACUGGCACUGGGGGAUAACGUCCGGCAACGGGCACUAAUACCACUAACUAUCAGACGAGCCUAGGUCGGAUUAGCUCGUUGGUGGUGUAAAGGCCUACAAAGGCCCCGAUCCGUAACUGGUCUGAGAGGAUGAUCAGUCACACUGGAAGUGAGACACGGUCCAGAAUCCUACGUGAGGCAGCAGUGGGGAAGAUUGGACAAUGGGCGAAAGCCUGAUCCAGCCAUGCCGCGUGUGUGAAGAAGGUCGUCGGAUUGUAAAGCACUUUAAGUUGGGAGGCGUUACCAACAGAAUAAGCACCGGCUAACUUCGUGCCAGCAGCCGCGGUAAUAC